UGAUUUUUAAGUCCUCAUAUACUGGACUCUGACAGCUGAGCCAUGGGUGGCAACUACUUAAACUAAGUCACUUUAAGCAACCAUUCAAAGUACUUAUGCAAUCAGGUUGAAACUAUUUUUAAUGAGGAGAAGAAAGCUCCUGGGAGGCACUGACAGCUCUUGAACCCUGAUAGCACACUUUGCACAGAGAUUCCCCAGAAGGUGGCUCUGAGCAAGUCUUCACAUUUGCCAUUUGAUUAAUUAAAGAUAAAUGGCGGAGACUUUUCCCUAAAUGGGUUACUUGAUUUAAGAGCUGCUGGCUAAUUUUGGUCGGAUAAUUUAAUAGAAGAGGGAAGAGGAAAGGAAAGAAAGGGGCUUGAAGAAAGAGGAAGAGAAAAGAAACACAAGGAUGGAGAACAAGGAGAGACCAUUUGAAUAGAAUGCAACUGAAGAAAUGGCUGGUGCAAUUCAGCAAGGUAAAAGAUUAUCUUACCCCCAGCUGGUUAAAGGCAGAAGCUAUGAAUUUGUGCUAUUGUCUGUGGGCUCCUUUCAGCUUUCUGUUUUUCUCAUGCAUGAGAAAAAUGCAUUUCAGCUGAAAACAGUAUUAUGAAGGAGAAGUACUUCAAAAUAAAACACUUUACUCAACCCAAAAGACUCACUAUAAGUUCUCAAACAGUAGCUGCCACUUCUAGCUGGGAGAGAAAUGAGAGCUCUGCUCAUGGUGAUCCAGUAUCUCCAGAAUCCAUCACCACUGCUGACCUCCCACUCCAUGUCUCCAAGUGCUCUGCUAUACCUGCCACCAGCAGCUGCCACCUCCAGACUUUGGAAGGUUAUAAUAAAACCUCUGUUCUACGAUCUGCCUUCUGCUUCAACAUCCUCACUCCCCACAAACAAUUCUAAUAAACAGCAAUUAAUCUGAAAGUGUUUUUGCAAUUUUAAUGUAUGAGAUAUGGU
RNAcentral lists this long non-coding RNA (933 nucleotides) under Homo sapiens (human). RNAcentral's name for it is "HSALNT0368611". The record is from RNAcentral. Lineage: Eukaryota; Metazoa; Chordata; Mammalia; Primates; Hominidae.